Molecule: ribosomal RNA, 2922 nt
Filed under: Klebsiella pneumoniae
Lineage: Bacteria; Pseudomonadati; Pseudomonadota; Gammaproteobacteria; Enterobacterales; Enterobacteriaceae
Description: LSU rRNA
Rfam family: Bacterial large subunit ribosomal RNA
Source: RNAcentral
GGUUAAGCGACUAAGCGUACACGGUGGAUGCCCUGGCAGUCAGAGGCGAUGAAGGACGUGCUAAUCUGCGAAAAGCGUCGGUAAGGUGAUAUGAACCGUUAUAACCGGCGAUGUCCGAAUGGGGAAACCCAGUGCAAUUCGUUGCACUAUCGUUAACUGAAUACAUAGGUUAACGAGGCGAACCGGGGGAACUGAAACAUCUAAGUACCCCGAGGAAAAGAAAUCAACCGAGAUUCCCCCAGUAGCGGCGAGCGAACGGGGAGCAGCCCAGAGUCUGAAUCAGCUUGUGUGUUAGUGGAACGGUCUGGAAAGUCCGACGGUACAGGGUGAUAGUCCCGUACACCAAAAUGCACAGGCUGUGAACUCGAAGAGUAGGGCGGGACACGUGGUAUCCUGUCUGAAUAUGGGGGGACCAUCCUCCAAGGCUAAAUACUCCUGACUGACCGAUAGUGAACCAGUACCGUGAGGGAAAGGCGAAAAGAACCCCGGCGAGGGGAGUGAAAAAGAACCUGAAACCGUGUACGUACAAGCAGUGGGAGCACCUUCGGGUGUGACUGCGUACCUUUUGUAUAAUGGGUCAGCGACUUAUAUUCUGUAGCAAGGUUAACCGUAUAGGGGAGCCGCAGGGAAACCGAGUCUUAACUGGGCGUUAAGUUGCAGGGUAUAGACCCGAAACCCGGUGAUCUAGCCAUGGGCAGGUUGAAGGUUGGGUAACACUAACUGGAGGACCGAACCGACUAAUGUUGAAAAAUUAGCGGAUGACUUGUGGCUGGGGGUGAAAGGCCAAUCAAACCGGGAGAUAGCUGGUUCUCCCCGAAAGCUAUUUAGGUAGCGCCUCGUGAAUUCAUCUUCGGGGGUAGAGCACUGUUUCGGCUAGGGGGUCAUCCCGACUUACCAACCCGAUGCAAACUACGAAUACCGAAGAAUGUUAUCACGGGAGACACACGGCGGGUGCUAACGUCCGUCGUGAAGAGGGAAACAACCCAGACCGCCAGCUAAGGUCCCAAAGUCAUGGUUAAGUGGGAAACGAUGUGGGAAGGCACAGACAGCCAGGAUGUUGGCUUAGAAGCAGCCAUCAUUUAAAGAAAGCGUAAUAGCUCACUGGUCGAGUCGGCCUGCGCGGAAGAUGUAACGGGGCUAAACCAUGCACCGAAGCUGCGGCAGCGACACUAUGUGUUGUUGGGUAGGGGAGCGUUCUGUAAGCCUGCGAAGGUGUGCUGUGAGGCAUGCUGGAGGUAUCAGAAGUGCGAAUGCUGACAUAAGUAACGAUAAAGCGGGUGAAAAGCCCGCUCGCCGGAAGACCAAGGGUUCCUGUCCAACGUUAAUCGGGGCAGGGUGAGUCGACCCCUAAGGCGAGGCCGAAAGGCGUAGUCGAUGGGAAACAGGUUAAUAUUCCUGUACUUGGUGUUACUGCGAAGGGGGGACGGAGAAGGCUAUGUUAGCCGGGCGACGGUUGUCCCGGUUUAAGCAUGUAGGCUGGUUGUCCAGGCAAAUCCGGAUAAUCAAGGCUGAGGUGUGAUGACGAGGCACUACGGUGCUGAAGUAACAAAUGCCCUGCUUCCAGGAAAAGCCUCUAAGCAUCAGGUAACAUCAAAUCGUACCCCAAACCGACACAGGUGGUCAGGUAGAGAAUACCAAGGCGCUUGAGAGAACUCGGGUGAAGGAACUAGGCAAAAUGGUGCCGUAACUUCGGGAGAAGGCACGCUGGUGUGUAGGUGAAGUCCCUGCGGAUGGAGCUGAGACCAGUCGAAGAUACCAGCUGGCUGCAACUGUUUAUUAAAAACACAGCACUGUGCAAACACGAAAGUGGACGUAUACGGUGUGACGCCUGCCCGGUGCCGGAAGGUUAAUUGAUGGGGUUAUCCGUAAGGAGAAGCUCUUGAUCGAAGCCCCGGUAAACGGCGGCCGUAACUAUAACGGUCCUAAGGUAGCGAAAUUCCUUGUCGGGUAAGUUCCGACCUGCACGAAUGGCGUAAUGAUGGCCAGGCUGUCUCCACCCGAGACUCAGUGAAAUUGAACUCGCUGUGAAGAUGCAGUGUACCCGCGGCAAGACGGAAAGACCCCGUGAACCUUUACUAUAGCUUGACACUGAACAUUGAGCCUUGAUGUGUAGGAUAGGUGGGAGGCUUUGAAGCGUGGACGCCAGUCUGCGUGGAGCCAACCUUGAAAUACCACCCUUUAAUGUUUGAUGUUCUAACGUUGGCCCCUUACCGGGGUUGCGGACAGUGUCUGGUGGGUAGUUUGACUGGGGCGGUCUCCUCCCAAAGCGUAACGGAGGAGCACGAAGGUUAGCUAAUCCUGGUCGGACAUCAGGAGGUUAGUGCAAUGGCAUAAGCUAGCUUGACUGCGAGCGUGACGGCGCGAGCAGGUGCGAAAGCAGGUCAUAGUGAUCCGGUGGUUCUGAAUGGAAGGGCCAUCGCUCAACGGAUAAAAGGUACUCCGGGGAUAACAGGCUGAUACCGCCCAAGAGUUCAUAUCGACGGCGGUGUUUGGCACCUCGAUGUCGGCUCAUCACAUCCUGGGGCUGAAGUAGGUCCCAAGGGUAUGGCUGUUCGCCAUUUAAAGUGGUACGCGAGCUGGGUUUAGAACGUCGUGAGACAGUUCGGUCCCUAUCUGCCGUGGGCGCUGGAGAAUUGAGGGGGGCUGCUCCUAGUACGAGAGGACCGGAGUGGACGCAUCACUGGUGUUCGGGUUGUCAUGCCAAUGGCACUGCCCGGUAGCUAAAUGCGGAAGAGAUAAGUGCUGAAAGCAUCUAAGCACGAAACUUGCCCCGAGAUGAGUUCUCCCUGAGACUUUAAGUCUCCUGAAGGAACGUUGAAGACGACGACGUUGAUAGGCCGGGUGUGUAAGCGCAGCGAUGCGUUGAGCUAACCGGUACUAAUGAACCGUGAGGCUUAACCUUACAACGCCGAAGAUGUUUUG